Molecule: unclassified non-coding RNA, 3272 nt
Filed under: Hevea brasiliensis (rubber tree)
Lineage: Eukaryota; Viridiplantae; Streptophyta; Magnoliopsida; Malpighiales; Euphorbiaceae
Source: RNAcentral
UAAAAACCCUCCCGCCUAAACGCUGCGAAGCGGAAGCCUUCGUCGUCCGAUCACCAAAACGAAAUGAGGAAGAAAGUCCUAACGAUCCUUCUCUCUCAUUCAAUCCCUUCGCUAUCCUCCAAUGCACUCAAUCCCAUUUUCCCUUCAACCUUUCAAUUUCGUUCACCCAUGUUUUUCUGCCAAAAUCUUCACUAUAACAUUUCCAGAUUCAUUUCUACAUCUUCCCGUGACAAUCUCCAAGGAUUAGUAGAUGCCGAGGACCCUUUUCUGCUUGACAAUUCUCGGGUUGAGUCUAUUUCCAGUGAAGAGUUUUCUUUUUUACGCGAUUCUUUGAUACACUCUAAUACUGGGGAGCAUAAAUUUGAUGCAGGUAAGUGCUCGAACGAGGCUGUUUUAAUUUCGCAUGCGAUUUUAACAAAUGAUGAUGGGUUUGGGAACAAAACCCAGAAAUUGCUUAGGCAAUAUAGAGAAAAAUUGAGUGAAUCUUUAGUAGUUGAAGUCUUGAAUCUAAUAAAAAACCCUGAAUUGGGCGUCAAGUUUUUUAUCUGGGCAGGCAGGCAAAUUGGGUAUAGUCACACUCAUUCUGUGUACGAGGCAUUGUUACAGAUAAUUGAAACUAGUGCUAAUAGUAAUGAUAGAAUACCAGAACAAUUUCUGCGUGAAAUUAAGGACGAUGACAAAGAAGUGCUUGGAAGGUUGCUUAAUUUUUUGAUUCGCAAGUAUUGUCAAAAUGGUUUGUGGAAUGCAGCAUUGGAAGAGUUAGGCAGGCUUAAAGAUUUCGGGUACAAGGCCUCAAGAUCAACUUAUAAUGCUUUAAUUCAAGUGUUUUUAAGAGCAGAACGAUUAGACACAGCUUAUCUGGUCCACAGGGAGAUGUCGGGUUUGGCGUACAGCAUGGAUGGAUUUACCUUGGGAUGUUUUGCACAUUCCCUUUGUAAAGCAGGGAAGUGGAGGGAUGCAUUGGCGUUAAUUGAGAAAGAAGAAUUUGUGGCCGAUACAGUGCUUUAUACUAAAAUGAUAUCCGGGUUAUGUGAAGCUUCCCUUUUUGAAGAAGCUAUGGAUUUUUUGAAUAGGAUGCGAGCAAGUUCUUGUAUUCCUAAUGUUGUCACAUAUACAAUUUUGCUUUGUGGGUGCUUGAGAAAGAAACAGCUGGGUAGGUGUAAAAGAAUACUAAAGAUAAUGAUUACAGAAGGUUGCUAUCCAAGUCCUAGGAUAUUUAAUUCACUCAUUCAUGCUUACUGCCAAUCAGGAGAUUACUCUUAUGCUUAUAAAUUGCUUAAGAAAAUGGUAAAAUGUGGGUACCAGCCGGGUUAUGUGGUUUACAAUAUAUUGAUUGGUGGUAUUUGUGGCAAUGAAGAGUUGCCUAGUAUGAAUGUAUUAGAGUUGGCGGAGAAAGCCUAUGGAGAAAUGCUUGAUGUGGGGGUUGUAUUAAAUAAGUUCAAUGUUAGUAAUUUUACACGGUGUCUUUGUGCCAUCGGAAAAUUUGAGAAGGCAUAUAAUGUUAUUUGUGAAAUGAUGAGUAAGGGCUUUAUACCUGAUACUUCCACAUAUUCAAAAGUCAUUAGUUAUCUAUGUAAUGCAUCCAAAGUAGAGAAGGCUUUUCUAUUGUUUCAAGAAAUGAAAAGGAAUGAUAUCACUCCUGAUGUCUAUACAUAUACAAUAUUGCUUGAUAGUUUUUGCAAAGCUGGUUUAGUAGAACAGGCUCGCAAAUUGCUUGAUGAAAUGCAAAGAUGUGAUUGUGCCCCAAAUGUGGUUACUUAUACUGCUCUUAUACAUGCAUACCUUAAAGUGAGGAAGAUAUCAAGUGCAAAUGAGAUUUUUGAGAUGAUGCUGUCCAAAGGUUGCAUUCCUAAUAUUGUCACAUAUACAGCUUUAAUUGAUGGUCAUUGUAAAGCUGGAGAGAUUGAAAAGGCUUGCCAGAUUUAUGCAAGAAUGAAGAAUGACAAUGUGAAAAGCUCAGAUAUAGAUAUGUAUUUCAGGGUUGUUGAUAGUAAGUCCAAAGAACUGAAUGUUUUUACUUAUGGAGCUUUAGUAGAUGGUUUGUGCAAAACCCACAGGGUCAAAGAGGCACGUGACUUGCUGGAAGUUAUGUCAAUGGAAGGUUGUGAGCCAAAUUACAUCAUAUAUGAUGCUCUCAUAGAUGGAUUUUGCAAGGUUGGCAAACUAGAUGAAGCACAAGAGGUUUUUACCAAGAUGUUGGGGCGUGGAUAUACUCCAAGUGUGUACACGUACAGCUCUUUGAUAGACAGGUUGUUUAAGGACAAAAGAAUGGAUCUUGCAUUAAAAGUUUUGUCCAAAAUGCUAGAAAACUCAUGUGCUCCCAAUGUUGUUAUUUACACUGAGAUGAUAGAUGGUCUGUGUAAAGAUGGAAAGACAGAUGAAGCCUAUAAACUUAUGCUUUUGAUGGAAGAAAAGGGGUGUCAUCCAAAUGUUGUGACUUAUACUGCGAUGAUUGAUGGCUUUGGGAAAGCAGGCAGAGUUGACAAAUGCCUUGAGCUGUUGCAGCAAAUGUGUUCCAAGGGUUGUGCUCCAAAUUUUGUCACCUAUAGGGUUUUGAUAAAUCACUGUUGUGCUGCUGGCCUUUUAGAUGAGGCUCAUAGACUUUUAGAAGAGAUGAAACAGACAUACUGGCCAAAGCACAUAGCAAUAUAUCGUAAGGUUAUUGAAGGUUUUAGCCGUGAAUUCAUAGCUUCUCUUGGUCUUUUAGUUGAGAUGACUGAGAGUGAUUCAGUGCCAAUUUUGCCAGUUUAUAAAAUUCUGAUUGAUAAUUUUAUCAAGGCUGGAAGACUGGAAGUGGCUCUAGAACUGCAUGCGGAGCUCUCAUCAUUUUCUUCUUUUUCAGCUGCUUACAGGAAUACAUAUUUCUCGUUAAUUAAAAGCCUUUCACUUGCAUGUAAAGUUGAUGAGGCUUUUAAGGUGUACGCAGACAUGAUUAGGAGUGGCCAUGUUCCAGAGCUAAGCAUAUUAGUUCAUCUUAUCAAGGGACUCCUUAGAGUCGGCAAGUGGGAAGAGGCACUGCAACUGUCAGAUGGCAUAUGUCGGAUGGAUAUCCAUUGGAUUCAAGAAAAACAAGCAGCUGAUGCUAAUUAGUUUUUGUUGCACAUAUUUUAUCAAUUUAAACAAAUCCAAUGGUUAAUGGUGCAUUAUUAAGUGAUUUGCUCAGAGAUUGACUUGCAAUUUCAAUCAAUCUAAUGGCUCCAUGUACAUCAUCAAGUGUUAAAUGUGGGUGCUUGGCUUCAAUGAGUUGCUGUUAUGAUAAUAAGGAGAAUAGG